CCUACGGGAGGCUGCAGUGAGGAAUAUUGGUCAAUGGGCGCGAGCCUGAACCAGCCAAGUAGCGUGAAGGAUGACUGCCCUACGGGUUGUAAACUUCUUUUAUAAAGGAAUAAAGUGAGGCACGUGUGCCUUUUUGUAUGUACUUUAUGAAUAAGGAUCGGCUAACUCCGUGCCAGCAGCCGCGGUAAUACGGAGGAUCCGAGCGUUAUCCGGAUUUAUUGGGUUUAAAGGGAGCGUAGAUGGGUUGUUAAGUCAGUUGUGAAAGUUUGCGGCUCAACCGUAAAAUUGCAAUUGAUACUGGCAGUCUUGAGUACAGUUGAGGUAGGCGGAAUUCGUGGUGUAGCGGUGAAAUGUUUAGAUAUCAUGAAGAACUCCGAUCGCGAAGGCAAGUGUCCGGGGUGCAACUGACGCUGAGGCUCGAAAGUGCGGGUAUCAAACAGGAUUAGAUACCCCAGUAGUC
RNAcentral lists this ribosomal RNA (460 nucleotides) under uncultured bacterium. RNAcentral describes it as "partial 16S ribosomal RNA". It matches the Rfam family "Bacterial small subunit ribosomal RNA", at positions 338 to 795 of the family's 1533-position model. The record is from RNAcentral.